GACAGAGGCCCCAAGCGUUAGGCGGAAUCACUGGGCUUAAAGCGUGUGUAGGCGGAUCGUUAAGUGUCUUGUGAAAUCCCACGGCUCACCCGUGGAACUGCUGGGCAUACUGGCGAUCUUGGGCCAACUAGGGGCAGUCGGAACAAGCGGUGGAGCGGUGAAAUGCGUAGAUAUCGCUUGGAACGCCGAAGGUGAAAACAGACUGCUGGGGUUGCGCCGACGCUGAGACACGAAAUCCAGGGGAGCAAACGGG
RNAcentral lists this ribosomal RNA (253 nucleotides) under uncultured bacterium. Its description in RNAcentral is "partial 16S ribosomal RNA". It matches the Rfam family "Bacterial small subunit ribosomal RNA", at positions 524 to 776 of the family's 1533-position model. The record is from RNAcentral.